Molecule: ribosomal RNA, 528 nt
Filed under: Metapenaeus sp. PEN2
Lineage: Eukaryota; Metazoa; Arthropoda; Malacostraca; Decapoda; Penaeidae
Description: partial 16S ribosomal RNA
Source: RNAcentral
CGUUGAGAAGUUCGUUGUGCAAUUCAAUGUGUCUUGAAGUAAAAUCUUGUUUUGUAAAAUUUUUGUAAACAAAAUAGAUUUAUUAAAAUCAUUUUUUAAUAUUAAUGCUUUAGUAAUUUGAAAUAAAAAAGCAGUAAAUGACUAUAGUAAAAAGUACUGUGAAGGAAUGAUGAAAUAGUAUGAAAUAAAUUAACUAAGAAAAAGUAAAAAUUAAUAUUUGUACCUUGUGUAUCAGGGAAGAUUAAAAUUAACUACUUAUGGUAGAAAUCCCGAAAAAAGAAGAGUUAACGUAAAAUAAAAGUUUUUGUUUCAAAAAGAUUUUUAAUUUUAUGUUAGUGAUGAAAUGUCAGUCGUUUCUUUAUAUCUGGUUGUUAAUGAAUUAAAUUAAAUUUAAUUGUUUUUUGAUAAAAUUUAAAUUAAAAAAUAAUAAAGAAUGGGAGGGAAAAGCUUCUUAUUCUAAAAUAAGUAUACUGUGAUAGAUAAAAAUUGUUGAAUUUAUAUUAAAUUAAGCUUAAAAGCAGCUAAAUU